CUGUCUCAAAAAACAGAACAGUGCUCGUUUCAGCAGCACAGUACAGAGAAGAUUAGCAUGGCCCCUGCACAAGGAUGACACGUGAAUUGGUAAAGCAUUCCAUAUUUUA
This is a non-coding RNA of Otolemur garnettii (small-eared galago), 109 nucleotides long. The record is from Rfam. NCBI's taxonomy places the organism in Eukaryota, Metazoa, Chordata, Mammalia, Primates, Galagidae.